AAAGGGGAUAGGAGGCUUUGAGGUGGAAGGUGAUAGCUGUAAUUUAAAUAAAGUGAUAAAACUCAGUGAGAAGGUUACAUUUGAGUAAAAACUUGAAGAAAAAGUAACAAGCCGUAAGGUCAUAUGGGGAAGAGCAUUCCAGCCCCCAAAACAGCAAGUGCAGAAGCUCUAGCUAGGGCCACCCUGAUGCCCAUUUUCAGGGUGUGCUAUUCUCAUGGUACCCUAUGUAGGUGGUGUCCACUGGGAUUGUGUUAUGAACAAUGUGCAUUGGAAAACAUGGCAGACCCGUCAUAAAGCAGGAACAGCAAGGAGGCCUGGAAGGGUAGGGGGAGGCCAGAGAGAAAAUGGAGGGCCAGGUAUUUUCAGGCUCUUUCAACUAGCUCUGCUGGAAAGCUAGCUUACUGUCCAGGGAAUUUUUAGACAGUCCCUUUGCCCAUGUCUGCUGAUACCACAUGCCCUAAAAGCAGGUAGGCUGUGUCUAGCCUUCUUGGGUUUGAUAGUUGAUAAGUGAGCUCCAUGAGGGAGAUGUACAACUGAUGUGUCUUUGCAUGGCGGUUUUUUCAAUUCUCUAGCUCCCUGAUGAAUGUGGGAAUAAAAAUUUAUAUCAGAAUCGACACUGGUUAUAAUGUGAAUUUAUGACAUUACUUGAGAAUAUUCAAUUCUGCUGUAGAGGACAAAAAAAAUGGAAUAAUGAAAUCCAUCAUAAACCCUGGGCAUAGUUGAUGAUAAAAGUGCUGGCCAGGCGUGGUGGCUCAUGCCUGUAAUCCCAGCACUUUGGGAGGCCGAGGCGGGUGGAUUACCUGAGAUCAGGAGUUCAAGACCAGCCUGGCUAACAUGGCGAAACCCCGUCUCUGCUAAAAAUACAAAAAUUAGCUGGGUGUAGUGGCAUGCACCUGUAAUCCGAGCUAUCCAGGAGACUGAGACAGGAGAAUCGCUUGAACCUGGAGGCAGUAAGCCAAGAUCGCACCAUUGCAUUCCAGCCUAGGCGACAGAGCAAGACUCUGUCUCAAAAAAAAAAAAAAAAAAAAGUGCUCUGACGUUAUAUUAUGGUGUUGGUCGCACAACUUUGUGAAUAUAUGAGAAGUCAUGGAAUUGUAUACUUUCAAUGAAUAAAUUAUAAGGCAUACAAGUUAUAUCUCAAUAAAGCUGUUUGCUAAAUUUGGACGUCACUUUUUUUUUAAACAGCUUUGUUGAGGUAUAACUCUGGUGUUAUACGUUUAGUAUUUGUUUGUUCACCUCUAUCAUAAGCUAUAUAAGCUAUAUGUCUCUUAGGACUGGGAUCAUUUUUAUCAAUUGUUACACCUCCACUUCCUUGUAUAGUACUUUUUGCCCGAAUGUUAAUUUAAAAAUGUUUGUUGAAUGAUACAUUUUAGGCUAAAUGAAUACAGUUUGCAUCAGCAUUAGGGUAGACAUGUCACAUGUAGUCCACUAACCCUCCCCAAGUCUUUUAUGUGAGUUGUUGUUAAGCCAGGGCAAUUCUAUCCUGUACUUGGGCAGAAAUUUCUUGAAAAAAAUCAAAGUUAAGAGUUUACAUUUAUUUUAAAAUUUUUAUCAUGUUAGAACCCAUCAGUCAUUUUAGCCAGUUAAGUGUUUUUUUUUUUUUUUUUUUUUUUUGAGAUGGAGUCUUGCUGUUUUGCCCAGGCUGGAGUGCAGUAGUGCGAUCUUGGCUCACUGCAACAUCUGCCUCCCAGGUUCAAGUGGUUCUCCUGCCUUAGCCUCCCCAGUAGCUGGGGUGACAGGUAUGCACCAUGUUGCCCAAGUUUUUGCAUUAUUUAGUAGAGAUGGGGUUUCACCACAUUGCCCAGGCUGGUCUUGAACUCUUGACGUCAAGUGAUCUGCCCGCCUCGGCCUCCAAAGGUGCUGGGAUUACAGGCAUGAGCCACUGCGCCCAGCCAAGAUUUUCUUGGAUUUUUUUCUCUGUCAUUAAGUGUAGUCUCUAUUUCUACCUGCUUUGUACUACAAACCAAUUUAAAUAAGCAUGCUGUCUUUCUCCAUAAAAACAUUAAACUGUAGAACAAUGUUUUUAUGGAGAAAAAGAGCUAAAGUCACAUGCUGGUGGAGCAUAAAACGCUCACUUGAAGAACACCUUGGUAAUGGCUCCAGCUAACUGUACCAUGACCUAAUCCUGUGGCUGGAACCUCUGGGGAGUCUUAUCCACCUCCCCAAAUCCAUUUGACAAGCUCAGGUCCAAUACCACUUCUUUCAUGGGCUAUUCUCUGAUCUUCUCAGAAUGUCUAUCUUCUAUUGAAUUUGCCACAAUAUUUUGUUUGUACUACUCUUGAGACAUCCCACACAACCUUGAAUUAUAAUUGCUCACAUGGGUGUCUCAGCAUUUAUUCUAGACCAUAAGAUACUUAAAAGGAGGAAUUGUGAUUUCUUUGACAGUUUUGUCUCUUAGAAUUUAAGGGUGAGGGUGCUUAAUAAGUAUUAGAAAUAACGGAUAAGUAAAAUAUUCAGUGCUAUUAAAAAUACUAUUAAAUCUCAACACCUCCAGGGGUUACAUAUCUGAAAAAAGAUAUCAUACAUAUCUAUAUAAAUUCUAAAAUAAAUUGAAAUAGUCCAUAUCAAAAACCCUGCUGGAGUAGGUAACUCUUCACAAUCGACUUCAAUUAUUCAUGAUAUAAUUUUUGCAGGCACAUCAAAAAUUGUAUGUUUAGAGGUUAGAGGAUGAAUCCUCUUACAGUUUUCAAACCAGUCUGUACUAGCUUGAAAUGUAAUGUUUCUUGCACUUGAAUUUUCCCUGCUUUGUGUCUGCCAGUCUUGGCCCAAUGCUUGGGUACUUUUUUUAUGUUAUUGUGGUGCUUACAGGUGUUUUUCCAGCUGUGUUUUUCUAUCCUGAGGUUACAUCGGAGUAUGACAUGAUCAAACCUCUUCUUUGCACCAUGUCACAGAACCACCUUAAUGGAAGAGUGGACAAUAACUAUUGUGGUUUUCUCCUAUUUCAGGUGAUGGAAUGGAACCAUGUGUGUACAAAAAGAUACAGGAAUGUACAUAUUCAGUUUGCAAUAUAAAAACAUACACUGUGAUUGGAGAGGGAUUACAACAUUCUAAUUGCAAUUUUUGUCAUUUAUUCAAUAAAUAUUUCCUGGCUGGGUAUGAUGGCUCAAAGUGCCUGUAAUCCCAGCACUUUGGGAGGCCAAAGCAGGCAAAUCACCUGAGGUCAGGAGUUUGAGACCAGCCUGGCCACCAUGGUGAAACCCCAUCUCUACUAAAAAUACACAAAUUAGCUGGGUGUGGUGGUGCAUGCCUGUAAUCUCAGCUACCUGGGAGGCUGAGGCAGGAGAAUUGCUUGAACUCGGGAGGCGGAGGUUGCAGUGAGCUGAGAUUGCACCACUGCACCCCAGCCUGGGCAACAGAGUGAGACUCUGUCUCAAAACAAACAAACAAACAAACAAACAAAUUCCUGAGUGCCUACCAUAUGCUGAUUAAACUGUUCUAGAUGUUGGAGAUGCAGCUAUGGACAAGACAAAUACAGUCUCUUCUCUCCAGGAAUUUACCUUCUAAUGGAGGAGAGAGACAAAAACAACUUUGUACAUAAACCUUUUCUGAUAGUCAUUAAGAAAAUAAAGCAACAUGGUGUCCAAAUUCUAGAUUGCUCAUUUUAAAGGCUAGGGUGCCUAAAACCACAAGGAACAUUUCAGAAUUAGUAACAUUCAUACUUCGUAGAGCUAUACUUAGGCUAAUAAAUGUUUGGUAUUGUUGCCUCCCCAACAGCCACCUCAGACCACCUCCUGACUCCAAGUUUCCCUGCUCAUCAAUCCAAAAUUUUGUUGAAUAUACUACUUCCCCACCCCCAAUGGAGCUUAAGGGUUAACCUGAACUCUCUAAACCAAUCAGGGCAUUCCUACUGUCUUUGAUCGUGAGUGUUGUAGGCAGAGACAUAUAACCCAAUCCUUGCUAAUGAGACUUGAGGUAGGACCCCAGCUUCCGGAGAGGUUGCCUGGCUCCUAAAAAGAGAAAGAUACCGGAAAAGAGAUGGACUCUUCUACCACUGGAAAUCAGAUGGUGUCCUGAGUGACAUAAGUGUACUUACAACAGCCAUUUUGCAACCAUAAAGAAGCCAGUGGGAAUACACAGGCUACGUGUCCUCGAAGGCACAGAAGAAAGAAGAGAGAAAACUAUAUUCUUGAUGACACAGUUGAGCUACAGAAUUGUCCAACCCCGGAGGUGCCCCACUUCGCGUUGUGGGAGAUAAUGCAUUUUCCUUGCUGUUUAAACCACUUUGAGCUGAGUUUUCUAUUACCAGCAGCCUAAAGCAUUUUGACAGAUAAAAGUAGAUACAAAUGCACAUAUAUAAUGAGCAUCCUGACUGAACGAUUAAAUGUGUAUGUAGGCAUGCAUUACCUCCCCACUCCAUUUAUGAUUGUCACAUUUAUUUUUACUUCAGGGAAAAGCAACUAUAGAAUUUAAAAAAUCAGGAUUGAAAACAAAUACCUGAAUUUCCUACAAUUAAAAAAUCAAUCCAUUAAGUAGUGGUAUUAUGCUAAAAUAAAAUGAAUGCUUAG
Molecule: long non-coding RNA, 4505 nt
Filed under: Homo sapiens (human)
Lineage: Eukaryota; Metazoa; Chordata; Mammalia; Primates; Hominidae
Description: PREDICTED lncRNA (TCONS_00233969)
Source: RNAcentral